Molecule: long non-coding RNA, 462 nt
Organism: Lycium ferocissimum
Lineage: Eukaryota; Viridiplantae; Streptophyta; Magnoliopsida; Solanales; Solanaceae
Exons: 2
Source: RefSeq, a predicted model, not a curated record
AAAGCGCGAAAAACAGAGAGAGAAAAUGGAGGACAUUGCAAGUGAAAGAGAAAUAAGUGAAUCUGUCAAGCCAAAACUCGCAAUUCAAUGUGCUAAAUCUGCAAUCUUAUCUCAUCACUGAAAAACACUACUACUCUCAAGUCUACAAAUCUUAACCAAUACAAGAAUGAGGAGGAGAAUUUGAAAGACGUGUGGGAACUGAAGAUGGAGAUAUUGAAGCAGAAAUUGAAGAAUAAGAAGCUCAAACUAUGCAGCGCUACGGAGUUACUCAUUCAAGUUGUGGUUUUACUCUCUGUUUGGACUAUGCUUCUUUUGCUCGCCUUUAAUUGUUGAUUCAGUACUGUUGUUCGAUUCAAUAGUUCUUCAUUGAAGUGUUUUUGUUAAUUAGGAGUACGUGAGAACUGAGAUUUGAUCUAUGAAGUAGUGCAGAUUUUUGAAAUAAUUGCAUGAUUUUAUGGUUAA